This is a long non-coding RNA of Alosa sapidissima (American shad), 1574 nucleotides long. RefSeq lists it as uncharacterized. The record is from RefSeq and is a predicted model, not a curated record. The transcript is spliced from 6 exons. Lineage: Eukaryota; Metazoa; Chordata; Actinopteri; Clupeiformes; Clupeidae.
UCUACACAAACAGGCACACAUAGCUGCAUCACAUCCACACAACACCUAGGAUCACAUGAUGUCUUGAAGUCACAUGACUAAUUAGGAAGUGAUAAGUGUUUGCUGGCUGCAAGUCAGAUUCUCUUUGUGUUGGUGCUGGACACUAUUGUGCGAGUUGGGCUUCACUUUUCAUACAGGGUAAUUUCUAGAAGGUUGUGUCUACUCUUCACGGAGGACACAGGCUUCUGCAUGGAGUUUUAACAUUUGUGAUCACCUCAUUGUGACCUGAGCUGAUGGGCUGCAUUGCUCUGCGUCUCCCUUACUCUGCUGUGGCUGUAUGGAACCUGACCUGUCUAGCAUUAGAUAACUCUCCCCUGCAGCUUAUGACGACGGCACGGCGUGUCUGUUUUAAGCGUUCUUUAGGCCUACUGGCUAAUCAGUGACUGCAAGUGUUUGGUAUGUAUGAAACCGGAAUGUUGUAGCUUUUGGUGUGGCAUUUGAGACACUUUGAUACACUCUAAGUGUUGACUAUUUAUGUUACAGGUAGCAUGGCUUCGUCAAGUUUGCUUGUUUAGUGCGGUCACGCUGCUGUCUUGUCCAUAGCAUUAGUUUUCACUUAUUUUUGUGUUUACGUCAUCACAGCUCCUCCGUGUCGCGGUAGCUGACCUGUUUGUGUUGCUCUUUUGCUUGAUUGGGAUUUCACAGGCGGGUUUGUUUUUGUUUGUUUUUGUUUGCUGGUCUGUUUUGCUUUUGCCUUAGUGUGUGUGAUCGUGUUUUCUGAGUUUGUAGUGUGUCUGCAUGCCUAGCUUUUAUCCCAGCGAGGAUUAUUUCCCUGGCUCAAUAGCUUUACAUCUUUAAUUGGUAUAACCUACAUGCUGGUGUUUGUGGUUGCUGUGCUCCUUUUUGAUCAGUUUAUGUGUUGGCAGGCCUGUGGGUUAUCUUCGGCGGGGGGUAACUAGUCACCUGGUGGCGGGCUUGUGAACUUCACUUUGGAGUGUACUAUGGAAUAUCGGUGGUGGUUUGCUGUGACAAUGGUGUAACCAAAGAUCCUUGAUUACUAGCUCCGCUUGAACCCUCUCUGGUGUAACACUUUUCUGCAGUGAGAGUGCACGUGUGGACACCUUCCUUGAUAGUCUGCUUCCCCCCAUCCAGGGACCAGGCCAGCCACUGUUUUCCUGCUAUCGCUGUACAAGGCCGGAUCCACACUGAUGCUUUGCCCCUUCUUGCCAAGGGACCACAUUGGGAGACACUGUCUUGGUGUGUACUAUAACUACAACACGUUGUGAUAUUUUGUAGUGGUAUCGAAAGACCUUAAGUGUGUAGUGCUUGCUGCAACAGGACACGUGUGACAUUUUGUAGUGGUAUCUGAAGAUCUUGAGUAGUGCUUGCUGUGUUGCAUGCGUCGUCUGGUGUUGGGUUGCUGUCUCCUGUUGUUUUUUCUGUCUCACCAGGGUCCUCCUGAGCAGGGGUUUUGCAUUGGCUGAUCCGACCUUCCUAGACUGAGGAAAAUCCACCAGUUUAUAGCAGUAUUUUAAGAUUUAGAACUUUUCUACUCCUUUUGUACUAAAUUGUAAUAAAUUUGAAAUACAUUUACA